AAAACGACUCUCGGCAACGGAUAUCUAGGCUCUCGCAUCGAUGAAGAACGUAGCGAAAUGCGAUACUUGGUGUGAAUUGCAGAAUCCAGCGAAUCAUCGAGUUUUUGAACGCAAGUUGCGCUCGAAGCCAUUCGGCCGAGGGCACGUCUGCUUGGGUGUCACGC
Molecule: ribosomal RNA, 164 nt
Filed under: Quercus petraea subsp. petraea
Lineage: Eukaryota; Viridiplantae; Streptophyta; Magnoliopsida; Fagales; Fagaceae
Description: 5.8S ribosomal RNA
Rfam family: 5.8S ribosomal RNA
About the family: 5.8S ribosomal RNA (5.8S rRNA) is a component of the large subunit of the eukaryotic ribosome. It is transcribed by RNA polymerase I as part of the 45S precursor that also contains 18S and 28S rRNA.
Source: RNAcentral